CAGUCGCCACGGUAAAACAGAGGGUGCGAGCGUUAAUCGGAUUUACUGGGCGUAAAGCGUGCGUAGGCGGCUAAUUGAGUCGGAUGUGAAAUCCCCGAGCUUAACUUGGGAAUUGCAUUCGAUACUGGUUAGCUAGAGUGUGGGAGAGGAUGGUAGAAUUCCAGGUGUAGCGGUGAAAUGCGUAGAGAUCUGGAGGAAUACCGAUGGCGAAGGCAGCCAUCUGGCCUAACACUGACGCUGAGGUACGAAAGCAUGGGGAGCAAACAGGAUUAGAUACCCGCGUAGUCCCUGUCUCUUAUAC
Molecule: ribosomal RNA, 301 nt
Filed under: uncultured bacterium
Lineage: Bacteria
Description: partial 16S ribosomal RNA
Rfam family: Bacterial small subunit ribosomal RNA
Source: RNAcentral